GCAUGGUCUGGUGGUGGAAAGAUUUUUUGGUUGGGGAUGGACUCGCGGCCUAUCAGCUUGUUGGUGAGGUAAUGGCUCACCAAGGCGACGACGGGUAGCCGGCCUGAGAGGGUGACCGGCCACACUGGGACUGAGACACGGCCCAGACUCCUACGGGAGGCAGCAGUGGGGAAUAUUGCACAAUGGGCGAAAGCCUGAUGCAGCAACGCCGCGUGAGGGAUGACGGCCUUCGGGUUGUAAACCUCUUUUAGUAGGGAAGAAGCGAAAGUGACGGUACCUGCAGAAAAAGCACCGGCUAACUACGUGCCAGCAGCCGCGGUAAUACGUAGGGUGCAAGCGUUGUCCGGAAUUAUUGGGCGUAAAGAGCUCGUAGGCGGUUUGUCGCGUCUGCUGUGAAAUCCCGAGGCUCAACCUCGGGCUUGCAGUGGGUACGGGCAGACUAGAGUGCGGUAGGGGAGAUUGGAAUUCCUGGUGUAGCGGUGGAAUGCGCAGAUAUCAGGAGGAACACCGAUGGCGAAGGCAGAUCUCUGGGCCGUAACUGACGCUGAGGAGCGAAAGCGUGGGGAGCGAACAGGAUUAGAUACCCUGGUAGUCCACGCCGUAAACGUUGGGCGCUAGAUGUAGGGACCUUUCCACGGUUUCUGUGUCGUAGCU
RNAcentral lists this ribosomal RNA (654 nucleotides) under Curtobacterium sp. Its description in RNAcentral is "bacterial SSU rRNA". It matches the Rfam family "Bacterial small subunit ribosomal RNA", at positions 188 to 853 of the family's 1533-position model. Lineage: Bacteria; Bacillati; Actinomycetota; Actinomycetes; Micrococcales; Microbacteriaceae. The record is from RNAcentral.